UACGAAGGUGGCAAGCGUUGUUCGGAUUUACUGGGCGUACAGGGAGCGUAGGCGGUUGGAUAAGCCCUCCGUGAAAUCUCCAGGCUUAACCUGGAAAGUGCAGAGGGGACUGUUCAGCUAGAGGAUGGGAGAGGAGCGCGGAAUUCCCGGUGUAGAGGUGAAAUUCGUAGAUAUCGGGAGGAACACCAGUGGCGAAGGCGGCGAUCUGGGAAGAUACUGACGCUGAGGUGCGAAAGCGUGGGGAGCAAACAGG
RNAcentral lists this ribosomal RNA (253 nucleotides) under uncultured bacterium. RNAcentral describes it as "partial 16S ribosomal RNA". It matches the Rfam family "Bacterial small subunit ribosomal RNA", at positions 524 to 776 of the family's 1533-position model. The record is from RNAcentral.